CGUAGGGGGCAAGCGUUAUCCGGAUUUACUGGGUGUAAAGGGAGCGUAGGUGGUUUGAUAAGUCAGAUGUGAAAGCCCGGGGCUCAACCCCGGGACUGCAUUUGAAACUAUUAAACUAGAGUGCAGGAGAGGUAAGUGGAAUUCCUAGUGUAGCGGUGAAAUGCGUAGAUAUUAGGAGGAACACCAGUGGCGAAGGCGGCUUACUGGACUGUAACUGACACUGAGGCUCGAAAGCGUGGGGAGCAAACAGGAUUAGAUACCCUGGUAAGUCCACGCCGUAAACGAUGAAUACUAGGUGUCGGGGGUCAAACGACCUCCGGUGCCGCAGGCUAACGCAAUAAGUAUUCCACCUGGGGAUACGUUCGCAACGAAUG
RNAcentral lists this ribosomal RNA (374 nucleotides) under uncultured organism. RNAcentral describes it as "bacterial SSU rRNA". It matches the Rfam family "Bacterial small subunit ribosomal RNA", at positions 526 to 896 of the family's 1533-position model. The record is from RNAcentral.